AAAACACUAACGAACGCUGGCGGCAGGCUUAACACAUGCAAGUCGAACGCCCCGCAAGGGGAGUGGCAGACGGGUGAGUAACGCGUGGGAAUCUACCCAACUCUACGGAAUAACUCAGGGAAACUUGUGCUAAUACCGUAUACGCCCUUCGGGGGAAAGAUUUAUCGGAGUUGGAUGAGCCCGCGUUGGAUUAGCUAGUUGGUGGGGUAAAGGCCUACCAAGGCGACGAUCCAUAGCUGGUCUGAGAGGAUGAUCAGCCACAUUGGGACUGAGACACGGCCCAA
RNAcentral lists this ribosomal RNA (284 nucleotides) under uncultured bacterium. RNAcentral describes it as "partial 16S ribosomal RNA". It matches the Rfam family "Bacterial small subunit ribosomal RNA", at positions 29 to 334 of the family's 1533-position model. The record is from RNAcentral.